RNAcentral lists this ribosomal RNA (296 nucleotides) under uncultured Gemmatimonadaceae bacterium. RNAcentral's name for it is "partial 16S ribosomal RNA". It matches the Rfam family "Bacterial small subunit ribosomal RNA", at positions 1089 to 1382 of the family's 1533-position model. The record is from RNAcentral. Lineage: Bacteria; Pseudomonadati; Gemmatimonadota; Gemmatimonadia; Gemmatimonadales; Gemmatimonadaceae.
GCAACGAGCGCAACCCCUCGCUAUCUGUUGCCAGCAAGUAAUGUUGGGGACGUCAGAUGGAACUGCCGGUGACAAACCGGAGGAAGGUGGGACGACGUCAAGUCAUCAUGGCCCUUAUGUCCUGGGCUACACACGUGCUACAAUGGUCGCUACAGAGGGUUGCCAAGCCGCGAGGUGGAGCCAAUCCCACAAAGCCGAUCGUAGUCCGGAUUGUUCUCUGCAACUCGAGAGGCAUGAAGUCGGAAUCGCUAGUAAUCGCAGGUCAGCAUACUGCGGUGAAUACGUUCCCGGGUCUU